GCAACGAGCGCAACCCCUAUCUUUAGUUGCCAUCAUUGAGUUGGGCACUCUAAAGAGACUGCCGGUGUCAAACCGGAGGAAGGUGGGGGAUGACGUCAAGUCCUCAUGGCCUUUAUGACCAGGGCUACACACGUACUACAAUGGCCGGUACAAAGGGCAGCGACACAGCGAUGUGAAGCAAUCCCGAAAAGCCGGUCUCAGUCCGGAUUGGAGUCUGCAACUCGACUCCAUGAAGUUGGAAUCGCUAGUAAUCGCGGAUCAGCACGCCGCGGUGAAUACGUUCCCGGGCCUU
RNAcentral lists this ribosomal RNA (292 nucleotides) under uncultured Desulfocapsa sp. RNAcentral describes it as "partial 16S ribosomal RNA". It matches the Rfam family "Bacterial small subunit ribosomal RNA", at positions 1089 to 1382 of the family's 1533-position model. The record is from RNAcentral. Lineage: Bacteria; Pseudomonadati; Thermodesulfobacteriota; Desulfobulbia; Desulfobulbales; Desulfocapsaceae.